This 2930-nucleotide ribosomal RNA is filed under the name Klebsiella pneumoniae. RNAcentral describes it as "bacterial LSU rRNA". It matches the Rfam family "Bacterial large subunit ribosomal RNA". The record is from RNAcentral. Lineage: Bacteria; Pseudomonadati; Pseudomonadota; Gammaproteobacteria; Enterobacterales; Enterobacteriaceae. RNAcentral also lists the same sequence under 1 other name.
UUAAGCGACUAAGCGUACACGGUGGAUGCCCUGGCAGUCAGAGGCGAUGAAGGACGUGCUAAUCUGCGAAAAGCGUCGGUAAGGUGAUAUGAACCGUUACAGCCGGCGAUGUCCGAAUGGGGAAACCCAGUGUGAUUCGUCACACUAUCGUUAACUGAAUACAUAGGUUAACGAGGCGAACCGGGGGAACUGAAACAUCUAAGUACCCCGAGGAAAAGAAAUCAACCGAGAUUCCCCCAGUAGCGGCGAGCGAACGGGGAGCAGCCCAGAGUCUGAAUCAGCUUGUGUGUUAGUGGAACGGUCUGGAAAGUCCGACGGUACAGGGUGAUAGUCCCGUACACCAAAAUGCACAGGCUGUGAACUCGAAGAGUAGGGCGGGACACGUGGUAUCCUGUCUGAAUAUGGGGGGACCAUCCUCCAAGGCUAAAUACUCCUGACUGACCGAUAGUGAACCAGUACCGUGAGGGAAAGGCGAAAAGAACCCCGGCGAGGGGAGUGAAAAAGAACCUGAAACCGUGUACGUACAAGCAGUGGGAGCACCUUCGGGUGUGACUGCGUACCUUUUGUAUAAUGGGUCAGCGACUUAUAUUCUGUAGCAAGGUUAACCGUAUAGGGGAGCCGCAGGGAAACCGAGUCUUAACUGGGCGUUAAGUUGCAGGGUAUAGACCCGAAACCCGGUGAUCUAGCCAUGGGCAGGUUGAAGGUUGGGUAACACUAACUGGAGGACCGAACCGACUAAUGUUGAAAAAUUAGCGGAUGACUUGUGGCUGGGGGUGAAAGGCCAAUCAAACCGGGAGAUAGCUGGUUCUCCCCGAAAGCUAUUUAGGUAGCGCCUCGUGAACUCAUCUUCGGGGGUAGAGCACUGUUUCGGCUAGGGGGUCAUCCCGACUUACCAACCCGAUGCAAACUACGAAUACCGAAGAAUGUUAUCACGGGAGACACACGGCGGGUGCUAACGUCCGUCGUGAAGAGGGAAACAACCCAGACCGCCAGCUAAGGUCCCAAAGUCAUGGUUAAGUGGGAAACGAUGUGGGAAGGCCCAGACAGCCAGGAUGUUGGCUUAGAAGCAGCCAUCAUUUAAAGAAAGCGUAAUAGCUCACUGGUCGAGUCGGCCUGCGCGGAAGAUGUAACGGGGCUAAACCAUGCACCGAAGCUGCGGCAGCGACACUAUGUGUUGUUGGGUAGGGGAGCGUUCUGUAAGCCUGCGAAGGUGACCUGUGAGGGUUGCUGGAGGUAUCAGAAGUGCGAAUGCUGACAUAAGUAACGAUAAAGCGGGUGAAAAGCCCGCUCGCCGGAAGACCAAGGGUUCCUGUCCAACGUUAAUCGGGGCAGGGUGAGUCGACCCCUAAGGCGAGGCCGAAAGGCGUAGUCGAUGGGAAACAGGUUAAUAUUCCUGUACUUGGUGUUACUGCGAAGGGGGGACGGAGAAGGCUAUGUCAUCCGGGCGACGGUUGUCCCGGUUUAAGCAUGUAGGCUGGUUAUCCAGGCAAAUCCGGAUAAUCAAGGCUGAGGUGUGAUGACGAGGUACCACGGUACUGAAGUGACAGAUGCCCUGCUUCCAGGAAAAGCCUCUAAGCAUCAGGUAACAUCAAAUCGUACCCCAAACCGACACAGGUGGUCAGGUAGAGAAUACCAAGGCGCUUGAGAGAACUCGGGUGAAGGAACUAGGCAAAAUGGUGCCGUAACUUCGGGAGAAGGCACGCUGGUGUGUAGGUGAAGUCCCUGCGGACGGAGCUGAGACCAGUCGAAGAUACCAGCUGGCUGCAACUGUUUAUUAAAAACACAGCACUGUGCAAACACGAAAGUGGACGUAUACGGUGUGACGCCUGCCCGGUGCCGGAAGGUUAAUUGAUGGGGUUAUCCGUAAGGAGAAGCUCUUGAUCGAAGCCCCGGUAAACGGCGGCCGUAACUAUAACGGUCCUAAGGUAGCGAAAUUCCUUGUCGGGUAAGUUCCGACCUGCACGAAUGGCGUAAUGAUGGCCAGGCUGUCUCCACCCGAGACUCAGUGAAAUUGAACUCGCUGUGAAGAUGCAGUGUACCCGCGGCAAGACGGAAAGACCCCGUGAACCUUUACUAUAGCUUGACACUGAACAUUGAGCCUUGAUGUGUAGGAUAGGUGGGAGGCUUUGAAGCGUGGACGCCAGUCUGCGUGGAGCCAACCUUGAAAUACCACCCUUUAAUGUUUGAUGUUCUAACGUNNNNNNNNNNNNNNNNNNNNNNNNNNNNNNNNNNNNNNNNNNNGGGUUGCGGACAGUGUCUGGUGGGUAGUUUGACUGGGGCGGUCUCCUCCCAAAGCGUAACGGAGGAGCACGAAGGUUAGCUAAUCCUGGUCGGACAUCAGGAGGUUAGUGCAAUGGCAUAAGCUAGCUUGACUGCGAGCGUGACGGCGCGAGCAGGUGCGAAAGCAGGUCAUAGUGAUCCGGUGGUUCUGAAUGGAAGGGCCAUCGCUCAACGGAUAAAAGGUACUCCGGGGAUAACAGGCUGAUACCGCCCAAGAGUUCAUAUCGACGGCGGUGUUUGGCACCUCGAUGUCGGCUCAUCACAUCCUGGGGCUGAAGUAGGUCCCAAGGGUAUGGCUGUUCGCCAUUUAAAGUGGUACGCGAGCUGGGUUUAGAACGUCGUGAGACAGUUCGGUCCCUAUCUGCCGUGGGCGCUGGAGAAUUGAGGGGGGCUGCUCCUAGUACGAGAGGACCGGAGUGGACGCAUCACUGGUGUUCGGGUUGUCAUGCCAAUGGCACUGCCCGGUAGCUAAAUGCGGAAGAGAUAAGUGCUGAAAGCAUCUAAGCACGAAACUUGCCCCGAGAUGAGUUCUCCCUGAGACUAUAAGUCUCCUGAAGGAACGUUGAAGACGACGACGUUGAUAGGCCGGGUGUGUAAGCGCAGCGAUGCGUUGAGCUAACCGGUACUAAUGAACCGUGAGGCUUAACCUU